Molecule: transfer RNA, 53 nt
Filed under: Dipodomys ordii (Ord's kangaroo rat)
Lineage: Eukaryota; Metazoa; Chordata; Mammalia; Rodentia; Heteromyidae
Rfam family: tRNA
About the family: Transfer RNA (tRNA) molecules are approximately 80 nucleotides in length. Their secondary structure includes four short double-helical elements and three loops (D, anti-codon, and T loops).
Source: Rfam by way of RNAcentral
GGGAAGGUGGCUCAGUGGUAGAGCGCUUGCCUUGCGUGCAUGAGGCCCUGGAU